UACAGAGGGUGCGAGCGUUAAUCGGAAUUACUGGGCGUAAAGCGCGCGUAGGCGGCUUUGCAAGUCGGGUGUGAAAUCCCAGGCUUAACCUGGGAACUGCAUUCGAGACUGCAUUGCUAGAGUAUGGAGAGGAAGUGGAAUUUCAGGUGUAGCGGUGAAAUGCGUAGAUAUAUGAAGGAACAUCAGUGGCGAAGCGACUUCCUGGACCAAUACUGACGCUCAUGUGCGAAAGCGUGGGGAGCAAACAGG
This 249-nucleotide ribosomal RNA is filed under the name uncultured bacterium. RNAcentral describes it as "partial 16S ribosomal RNA". It matches the Rfam family "Bacterial small subunit ribosomal RNA", at positions 524 to 776 of the family's 1533-position model. The record is from RNAcentral.